This 254-nucleotide ribosomal RNA is filed under the name uncultured bacterium. Its description in RNAcentral is "partial 16S ribosomal RNA". It matches the Rfam family "Bacterial small subunit ribosomal RNA", at positions 524 to 776 of the family's 1533-position model. The record is from RNAcentral.
UACGAAGGGGGCUAGCGUUGCUCGGAUUGACUGGGCGUAAAGGGCGCGUAGGCGGUGUGUCACGUCGGCCGUGAAAACCUGCAGCUUAACUGUGGGCGUGCGGUCGAUACGGGCAUCACUGGAGUUCGGCAGGGGAGACUGGAAUUCCUGGUGUAGCGGUGAAAUGCGCAGAUAUCAGGAGGAACACCGGUGGCGAAGGCGGGUCUCUGGGCCGAUACUGACGCUGAGGAGCGAAAGCGUGGGGAGCAAACAGG